RNAcentral lists this ribosomal RNA (252 nucleotides) under uncultured bacterium. Its description in RNAcentral is "partial 16S ribosomal RNA". It matches the Rfam family "Bacterial small subunit ribosomal RNA", at positions 524 to 776 of the family's 1533-position model. The record is from RNAcentral.
UACGGAGGAUCCGAGCGUUAUCCGGAUUUAUUGGGUUUAAAGGGUGCGUAGGCGGACUGUCAAGUCAGCGGUAAAAUUGAGAGGCUCAACCUCUUCCCGCCGUUGAAACUGGUGGUCUUGAGUGGAUGAGAAGUACGCGGAAUGCGUGGUGUAGCGGUGAAAUGCAUAGAUAUCACGCAGAACUCCGAUUGCGAAGGCAGCGUACCGGCAUCCAACUGACGCUGAGGCACGAAAGCGUGGGGAUCAAACAGG